GCCAGCAGCCAUAUCACCCUGCAACUCACAACUAGCAACCCACUGAAGCUAAGCGGUUGUGAGCCUGGUCAGUACCUGGAUGGGAGACCUCAUGGGAAAAACUAAGGUUGCUGCUGGAA
Molecule: ribosomal RNA, 119 nt
Organism: Lepisosteus oculatus (spotted gar)
Lineage: Eukaryota; Metazoa; Chordata; Actinopteri; Semionotiformes; Lepisosteidae
Source: Ensembl